Molecule: non-coding RNA, 19196 nt
Organism: Rattus norvegicus (Norway rat)
Lineage: Eukaryota; Metazoa; Chordata; Mammalia; Rodentia; Muridae
Source: RefSeq, a predicted model, not a curated record
CUCGGGAAGGAUGGCUAUGCACAUCUUACUACCAUCUAGUACUUUGCUGUGGCCCAAAUGCAGCCGAGCUGACUAACAGUGUAUUAAAACCUCCAAAAUUAUGAGCCAAGAUCAGCCUUUGCUCUUUUAAGUGUAUUAUCUCUGUCGGGCUAUUACAGUGGCAGGAAGCCGACCACCACACUCACAGUGCCUCUUCCCAGAUUAUCAGCCUUGGCUGAUCUGGAAUUUAAGAGGUCCUCCUGCCUCUGCAUCCUGAGUGCUGGGUUUAAAAGCUUGGACCACCACAGGGCCAGAACACUUUUUUUUUUUUUUUUUUUGUGGUAACUUUGUUUCCACUGUGAGGUGAGGAUGAAGCCUGAGGAAUCAGACAGGCCAGGGCACUGUGUCGAAGGUUGACUGUGAAUUGUUCUCACAGGCGUUGUGUUUGAACACUUGGUCCUGACAUUGGUGUUAUUCUGGGAGGUUGUAUAAACUUCAGGGAGGUGGAGCCUAGCUAGUUCUUAUAUGUUAGUCUACCCUCGCUUGUCCUCUGCUUCCUGGUCUACCAAAAUGUAAGAUGCCUACCACACAUUCAAGCCCGAUGUGGAUGGAGCCACUCAUUCAUGACUUCCUCACCAUUAACUACAUCCUUCUGAGCUGCUCUCUUCAGCUAUUUGGACACUGACGGAAAGAGUAAUUAAUACCUCUGUAAUCAUCCUGUCUCCAAGUUUUGUGUCUCUCAUUAGGAGGAUCUCUCUGUUCUGUGGGCCACCUGACUUGGCCACCAGAAAGCAUCCAUCCCCUGUCAAUCCAGGAUGUCAGAGGAUACUCCCUGAACAGAAUUCAAAAAGCCAGUGACAAGCCUAUGCUGACCAUGUCUACUGAGAUCUACAACCAUGUUCUUAGUUCUGAUGAAAAUCAGUGGGCUUCUAACUGAGCAAGGCAUAUUCUCUGAUAUGAUAAUGUUGUGUCUGUGAUUAAAAAGAGGAUCACAUUGUGGGUUUGGUAAGGAAAAAAACAGACUUAUUUCCAAGGUUUAAAGGUUUAUCUUUUGCAGAGAGAAAAAGAAAAGAUAUCAAUGAAAAAUGAUCAUGCCUUGUGAACAGAAGGAACCAGUCCUGGUUUCAAAAUAAUGAUGAAGAUUUAGGAUUGCAAAUCCGUGGUUUAAAGAUGACGAUUUGAUAAUAGCAUGCCAGUGGGACGAUCAGACCCUUAACUGCUCCCUUAUGGUGAGGCAAUGUCUCUAUUCAAAUGAACAUCUUGUAUUGAGUGUUUAAAGCUCUCUUCUUUUCUCCUCCCCAUUAUUUAGGUUUUUUUCCCCCUCAAUUGUUCAGCAUAACUAAAGAGUCUUAAGCAGGGAAUUGCACAUAAUUAUAGGUUCUGCACCAGUGGCAAAGUGAUGUUUCUUCUUAAGUAUUCAAAAUCAUCAACUUUACUCUUCUUCCCUCCAUUGGACAAUUGAGUUUAAAUGGCAAGAGUGUCCUCUUGCUACCUUUGAAAGCAUCAUUUGGCCUCACUCUGUGCAGAUUACAAACAUAUCAAAAACUACAAUAUACUCUCCAUGUAGAAACAGAAGAUACCCCUAUACACAAAUGGGGUAAAAGAAGGAAUAUCUGAGCUCAGUUUUGUCUGCUAGUAAGGCAAGGAGCUUUAAGAGCUGAAAGUCCCUGAGUCCACUGGACAGGUCGUGGCCUCCAAGUUCCAGCAGAGAGGCUACCGUGUGCUGUCAGGUGAGAACUCUGCAGCACCAGCCAUGGCCCUCUCCACCUCUUCUCUAUUACUGCCUUUGAGAAAUCUGACACUGUUAAACUCCUAACUUGAAGAUGCUUCACAGAGCAGGAUCCUUGCCAAAUUCAGGGCUCUUGCUAGUUGCAAGGCAAGAGAUGCCGUGUAGAAUAAACGACUACAAGCCAGUAGUCACAAUGGGAAUAAAUCCUCCAAUUUGUAGUCUCCGAAUGUCUUAAUUUCUUGAACCUUUAGAGUGAGACUGGCUUUAAGAAUAAAUUUACAAAGUAAUAUUGGAUGAGCUAUAGUUAGACCUCAGCUCCUCUGGCAGUUCUUUCUCACCCCCACCCCAACUCUGUCUCUGUCAGCAUCUAUUUGCUCUUCAUGGUAUUAAACUCAUGACAAAGAACACAGAGCAAUACUUUACUUACUAGGCCAAGGAGUAAGCUGUUCUGUGUAAGGGUUUCCCAACCAACAGUUAGCUUAGUGCUUUAUGUAUUUGAACACUUUUGACUCCUUGUUUUCAUUUAUUCUCUCUGCAUGUGCGCACAUAUGUGCCAUGCCUAUGGAAGUCAGAAGACAACGUGUGGGGGUUGGUUCUCUCCCUCUACCCUGUGGGUUCUAGGAAUUAACUCAGGUGAUCAGGCUUGGUGGCAAGUAUGUUUACCCACCAAGCCAUCUUGCCACCCAUUAAGUCCCCCACCCCCAUAUUUAUCUCAUGUGUGGUGUGUGUAUGUGUGUGUGUGUGUGUGUGUGUGUGUGUGUGUGUGUGUGAACGAGAGGACUUUUGGGAGUUCUCUCCUAAUAUAUGAGUCCCAGAUACUGAAUUCAGGCCACUGGGCUUGACAGCAAGUGCCUUUAUCUACUGGCACUAACCUCAUCUCACUGGUCUCUUUAGCAUUUUUUUUUCUCAGAGCUGAGGACUGAACCCAGGGCCUUGCACUUGCUAGGCAAGCACUCUACCACUGAGCUAAAUCCCCAACACCCCCUUUAGCAUUUUUGAGGAAGUUUUAAAAAAUAAAAUUUUUUCUCUUGCCUCAGUGGCCAGUAUAUGGUAUGACUUUGUGGUGGCAAUUCAGGAUGGCUGGGACCUUUUGAAUAACACAGUCAUGCACUGCUGUCAGAGUUCUGGAGGGAUUUACAACAUGUUGGUGGAUAUAAGUAGCUUAACUUGGUCAUAGAUUCAACUUGCCUUUAGCUUAGUAUCAUCUGUACAUCCUGCGGUUAGAAAAUCAUUCAAGAGUCUCUGUUAUCAGUCUACCCUGUUCUAAGGACAGAAAGUGUUCCAUCACUAAGACCUCAUACAAAGCAUUUCAAUAUAAAAAGGGUUCCUGACUCUCAUGAGGUACCCCGGCUGGACUUGUUUCUAUUCUAUUGACAGGCAUUGUGUUUCAGUGUUGCUAUUCCCCAGCUGUUGUAUGCCUCUAAUAUCUCUCCUCUUCCUGAAGGUUUAUGUUUCAGGUUUCCCAAUUCAGAAUGUAAGCUAUAGUAGUUAUAUUCUUUCAACCAGAGGGAUGUUAAAAUGCAAAGUAUCAGUGCCUAAACCAGAAUGACCAAAGGCCAGUCUUUGUGGGCUCUGCUUCCAAGGUCAAUGUCUUUCUGUAUUCAUAAACAGAAUAUCUGUGGCAUGUACAUAGGGUCAUAGUGUAAAGUAUCCUGGUUUCCAUGGUAAAUAAGCACAAUGUGUGUGACAGAGGGCUAAUAUCCAAAAUUUAUAAAGAACUCAAGAAAUUAAAUACCGACAACCCAAAUAAUCCAAUUUAAAAAUGGGGCAGAGAGCUAAAAAGAAUUCUCAACAAGGAAUCUCGAAUAGCUGAGACGAAUUUAAAGACAUGUUCAAAGCCCUGAGUCAUCAGGGAAAUGCAAAUCAAAACAACUCUGAGAUUCUAUCUUACACCCAUCAGAAUGGCUAAUACCAAACAUUCAAGUGAUAGCACAUGCUGGGGAGGAUGUGGAGCGAGGGGAGCACUUCUUCAUUGCUGCUGGGAGUGCAAACUUCUACAACCACUUUGGAAAUCAAUUUGGCAGUUUCUCAGAAAACUGGGAUUAAGAGUUCUACCUCAACACCCAGCUAUGCCACUCCUGGGCAUAUAUCCAAAAGAUGUUCCACAUCCUACAAAGACACUUGCUCAACUAAGUUCACAGCAGCGUUACUUGUAAUAGCCAGAAACUGGAAACAACCUAAAUGUCCCUCAUCUGAAGAAGGGAUAAAGAAAAUGUAUUCCAUCUACAUAAUGGACUACUAUUCAGCUAUGAAAAACAAAGAUACCAUGAAUUUUGCAAGCAAAUAGAUGGAUCUUGAGAAUAUCAAACUAUGUGAAGUAACAAAGUCCCAAAAGGACAUAUACAGUAUACAUUCACUUAUAAGUGGAUAUUAGCCAUAAAAUACAGUAUACCCAUGCUACAGACCCAAGGAGGCAGGAUAGGAAGGAGGGCACAAGCAAGGAUGAUUGAGCCACACUUGGAAGGAGGAAUGGAAUGGUUGUGGAAGGCAGAUGGAGGGAACUGGGUGGGAGAGGGGAUCAGGAGGGAAGUUGGGGGUUUGUGGUGGAGUAUAGAGAGGGGCAGAGGGGGGCUAGAUGGCUAUGAGAAUGAAUGGAAAUCUGCAACCAGUGGGGAGUUGGGAGGUCUCCAGGAAGAGACAGAGACCUAGGAUAGGGGAGGUUCCCAAGAAUUAAUGGGGUGUCCUUAGCUGUGAGUCACAGCAUUGGGGAUAUGGAACCUGGGGAGGCUACCUCCUAUGGCCAGGCAGGAACCUCAGUGGAGAGACAGAGGCACCAACCCACCCACAAAACUUGUGAGCCAAAGCUUACCCUGUCUAUAAGAAAUGUAGGGACUAGGGAUGGAGCAGAGACUGAGGAAUAGCCAAUCAACAAGCAGCCCAACUUGAGAUCCAUCCCAUGGGGAAGCACCAAUCCCUGACACUAUUAAAAAAAUACUGUUAUACUUGCAGACUGGAGUCUAGCAUGGCUGUCCUCUGAGAGGCCCCACCCACUAACUGAUUCAGACAGAAGCAUACACCCACAGCAAAACAGUAGACGGAGCUUGGGAACUCUAAUGGAAGAAAAAGAGAAAGGAUUGAAGCCUCUAAGGAGAUAGGAACUCUACAGGAAGACCAACAGAAUCAACUAACUAAUCACCCUUGGAGCUGAACCACCAACCAAAGAACAUACAUGGGCUUAGGCCUCCCUACAAAUAUGUAACAGAUGUGCAACUUGGUUUGCACGUGGGUCCUGACCAGCUGGAGUGGGGGCCAUCCCAAAAGCUGCUGCCUGUAUGUGGGAUACGUUCUUCUAGCGGGGCUUCUUGUCUGGCCUCAGUGGGAGAUGAAGUGCCUAGUGUUGCAAACACUUGAAGUGCCAGGAUGCGGGGAGGGAGAAGAUAACCAGGGCACCCCACCCACUCAGAGAAGGGAAGGGGUUGGGAGAUGGGGGAAGAACUGUGGGAGGGGGAAGUGAUCAGGAUAUAAAAUGAAUAAGGAAAAGAAAUGGGUACUUUCUCAAUCACUGACUCAUUUUACUGUAAUUCCUUCAGGUCUACUUCUGUUCUUCCAAUGUUGACAACUGCAUCUACUUCCUAUUGCUAUGGUAACAAUUGAGAACAAUUUUGGUGGUUGAAAAGAACACAAAUGUAUUAGUAAUUUUUCUAUUCCUCUGAUUAAAUACUAUGACCAUAAGCAACCUACAGAAGUUUCUUUUGGGUUAAGGUCCCAGAGGGAGUGCCCAUUAUUGUGAGGAAAACAUGACCAGUAGAGUAGGCCAGUAGAGUAGGAAGCUGAGAGACCACACCUCAAACACAGAGGAAGCAGGAAAAGUAGAAGUACAAAGCAGAGCAAGGCUGUAACCCCUCAACCGGCCCAGUGACGGACUUCCUCCCAGGCCACACCUAAAGGCUGUUACCUCCCAAACAUCGCCCCUAACACAUGAGCCUGAGGACAACAUUUUUCAUUCAAACCACGUCAGGAAUCUUGAAGACAAAAAUAACUGGCAGUGGACUUGAGGUGUCAGCAGCUCUGUUCACUCUGAAGGUUCUAGAUCAGUGGUUCUCAAUCUUUAAUGCAGUCCAUGUGGUGACCCACAACCAUAAAACUGUUUUGUUCCUACUUCCAUAAUGUUUUUGCUACAGUUAUGAAUCAUAAACAUGCUUUCUGAUGGUCUUAGGCAACCCCUUGAAGGGGUGGUGAUACACAGGCUGAGAACCAUGCUCUAGGGAGCUGUUGUUGACCUUUUGCUUUUUCUAGUGUCUGAAAACCACUAAGAUUUCUAAGUUUGUGACUUCUUUCUUGUAUCAGGCUAACUGACCUCUUGCUUCCAUUGCCACAUGCCUCCUUUCUUUUCUGCAGUCAAACCUCCUGUCUCCCUCUUAGACAGACAUGAGAUUAGAUGUGGAUAAUAGAAUUUCUCCAUGUUGAGAUGCACCACACUUUCAAGUUUUAUAAGCAACAUCCCUAAGUCUGGGAACAAGGACCCAAGUAUCUUGGGGAAUAUUCAGUUUAUGGCAGAGCCAAUUCCCUUGUUUUAACUCUGAAGUCUCUUCAGUCCCUGUCCUAAUUCUCUUGACAUUUCAAACUAUGGGUACUGUAGAAAGCUCCUCUUCUAAGGAGACAGUUGGAUUCCCAUUGAUGUAGUGCUUUUCCUUCUUGAAUGCAAGCCCCUGGGAGAAGGAUCUCUGGCUAUCAGGUUUGGUGUGCUAGCCCCAGUGCUUGGAACAGUGCUGGUGUUAUCAAAUCACAGCUAUCACAUAACAGAAAGUGGAUAUGCUCCUAUCUUUCCCAUUCUGUCAUCUCUCAUCCCAACCCUGGCACUUCCUCUAUUUCUGUGUGCAAAGAUGGGUAUACUCCAGGUACAUGCUCCUAAUAUGCCAAGUGGAUGAAAUUCUUACCAUACUCCGUGGCUCUUAAGUUGCACCCCAAACCUAGACCCAUAGUUUGGACUUUAGAUUUUAAUCUAUUCCUGAAAGUCCCAUACUAUGGCAGAUUAACCGUGUUUCAUGUUCUCUAGCACAAACACAACCAAAGCCUAACUUUCUUACCCACCCUCCGUCUCAGGGAAUAAGUACCUAGCUUUAUUCAACAACCAAAGCAAAAACACUGACCAUCCACUGAGCCCUCCCAAACCUCUAUCACUGCCUUCCUAAAAAUCCAAUCAGCCAUGAAUUCUGUCAACCUGCCUUAAAUUCUUGAAAAGUUUUCUGCUGAAUAUUCUGGUUCAAGUCUUCUCUAUUUCUCUAAAGUGGGAUAUAAACGAACUGACCACACUGACUCUCUUGACUUUGAUGAACAUAUCAAAAUGACACACUUAAAUGUUUUUGCACGAAUACCAGUUACUGGUCACUAUUUCCUGCCCUGCUUCCAUUUUCUGAUGCAUGAACAGGGACUAUGAUCGUGGUCUGCAUGCUACAUGAUCUUGGUUACCACACCAACUGGGCCAGGGACUUACCUCUGUCCCAAAUGUGGCUUCUCUCAGUUUUAGUUAACCACCUUACAAACCAGGUGGCUGGUUGUAAAAUAUGAAGAAAAUUUCUCAAAGUUGAGAAGAUGAGCGGAGUUGGCCAUAAGCUGCUCAGAGCUUUGUAAUGUUGAAAGGACAUCUCAGAGGAGCCUGGAGAGAAUGAAAGAAAAGGACGCCUGGGCACUGUGCCAGGGCAGUAACCGUUUCCCAUGGCUCAUAACAGCAUGCUGAAUUGUGAUUUCUGUUGUAGAUGCCCAUGAAGUUGUUACAUUAUUAAACCCAAACCAACCCCAUACCCUCCUUUGAGUGAAUCUAGUUUUCUCAAAUGUGUCCAAGCUGUGUUUCCUUAAGUCCUUAGCACCUUACAGGGAGGGACUGCAUGACUGAGAGCAGCAGCAGAAGGACCCUCCUGAUCCUUCUUAAAGGAUUAGUUAAAGGGAAAGAAAAAGGGAAGCUGCAUCACUUGGAGGGUAGACGUUGAGCCUAUGCUGUAAUCUUUACAUAAGUGCACACUGGUCCACAGACAGUAUGUCAGACAAGUACCUGUUGCUACAAAUAUCACAGGAAAAUGCCUGUAGGGACAUGCUGAUACUUGUCAACAGCGCAUAAUCAAAUUGUUAUUUAGAUACCUCAGUUCAAGGCAUCUACCUUUCUUUCUCUUACCAGCUACUGGGACCAGAGGAAUAUCAGGAAUCUUUAACACAUAAACCAUCUCUGUCUCAAGUGGAAGUUCACAGGAUGCCUGUAAGGAAACGCCUCAUCCGAGGACUUGCAUCAAUCAGAAGACAUCAGUUUGUCUCCAGCACCUGCUGCUCAAGUUUCAGAAGCUGUGUUUCAAGCUUUGAGUAUUACAGGUAUCCACAGUGGACUAAUGUUCUACCUGAGGCAUAGGCCUCUCUGCUGUUUGUACUGUUCAACUGCCCUGUGGGAAAGGUGGGGGAGAACACAGAUUGGCAGUUAUUAAAGGUCUCUUAGUCACUGUGCCUGAGAGUCUAGCCACAGGUUCUCUCCUGUGAGCUGAAAAUAGAUUCAACAUUGCUGCUGCUCAGGAACACAAAGAACUGAGCUCAUAAUAUCAAAGAAGCACAAUUGGGUCACCUUUGUCACAGACUGGAAGAAAGUAAAAAAAAAAAAAAGCAUAAAACUGGAUUUAGAAUGUGCUUAGAGAAAAUUCUGAAGCCUAACAAUAAAGAUGGUGACUCCUGCUGUUUCAAGUCCAGUGCUACUCAGAGGCUCGGAUCCCCUAAAAGAGAAAGGGAAACUGGCCUUGCAACACUACUGAGGCAGACUUCAUUGGUCUUCAUGGCAGAAUCAAAUACAACAAGGGGGAGGACUAAUCGAACCAAUUCAGCCUUCCUUGAAGCAAGAGAGAGAAGAAACUUAACCUUCUAGCAUUUUCCUGAGAAGCACUGAAGGGCACACCAUGAAAGCACCUGAUUAUAGUACAGGAAGAUGCUAUGGUUGUUUGAGCCUUUAUUAAGGAUUAUUCAUUUCAGCAUGACGAACGGCACAGGUUAUGGCUGCACAUCACUUAGGUAGGGCUCCUGGAUCUUUCAAACACGGUAUGUAUCUGAUUAGGGAAACAACAUUGUUCUCGCUUGGGUAGAGAAACUGACCUUCACUGACCAGAAUUUUAUUCAUACAAAGAGUCCUCUGGCACACCAAAGCUCCAAGCUCACAUAAUCAUUCAUCAGCAAGCUGCAGUGUUAGUUCAUGUGCAAAAUCAAGAACUCUAUAUAAGCCUAGGUACCGCCUUGGUUAUUAACAGAUAAUGUUGGAGCUUCUGCACAAGACUAUAAUGUAAAUUUAAUGCUGAGCUGACAUUAACCAAAUACUAUUAUCAUAUCUCUUGCUGAACCUAUGUUCUCUAAAGAGAGCUAGCUCAAGGCUUCCGUUUACUCAUUUGUGCCAUGUGAGAAGUUAAAUGCUCCACUUCACGUGCAUUACCAUCUAGGUAUAGCAUUUCUAUUUUUACCCAAAUGAAAAGAAACACACACCUCUUUUUGGGAACAAGCCCCCCAUUUUAGGAUACUGAAAGUUAUAUAAUCAGAUGAGGCUGCUGAGGUGAUGACUCAGGUCACUGGGUUCUGCCUAACCUAGGGACAUAGGGAUAAAUGAUGCCCCCUGGCACUCCUCUUUGAGUUUGCAACCUGCUGUAUGUGAACCGCACUCCCUUCUGAAUAAAUCGGAAUCUAACUUAAUCUUGGGUACAAGAACAGGAGAGCUAUGGCAGGGCACUUGUGCAGCUGAUGUGACGAGGAAAGGCACCACGGUAUGGACAGGGACGAAACCUAAACUUCUCAGUAAGCAGGUACUCAGAGGCAUCAAUUCCGAGGGGGGCAGGAAGUGAGGCCUCAAUCUACUAUGAAGGUGGACUCUCAGGUGCUGUUUCAGUCCUUCAGCCCCACAGCUACGGCACCUGCCUGGGAACAGGCAGGACGCUAUGGCAAGGAUCCUGCUACCUACUUGUGGGCUGCUAUACACAACACACUGCUCAGUUUCACUCUAACUACGCGGUUUCCAGUGAGUUUGGGGACUUCAUCUUUGAUAUGGUUGUGCCAUGUGAACAAUACACAUUCACUCAAGGCUUCCUUGGCUCCCCUCAGACCAUGGAAGAGAGAUCCAGAUAGCUCUGUUUCAAGUCCUUUGGUACCACGUUCAGUUGCAUUUACACAUAAUCAGUCUGCAAGAACAUUUUGAAAAUGUCCUUUGACUGUUUGAAGUUCAGAACUUGUCUAUACAGUAAGUUGCAACUUUAUUAAAAUAAUAAUUUACAUACCUACCAUUUAAUACAUGAACAUCCCUUCUAAUUCUCAGUAAAAUGAAGCCAUUAUAUUUUCCUUCAUCUAUCCUGGUGGUUGGUUUAUUUCUUUCCAAAUAAAGCUCACAUCAACUUCAUACACGAUAUACAAGCAUAAAGAAUUCUAGAUGGAGUUAUGGAUUCAGAAGGGUGAUUAUUAAUUGAGGUAAAAGUUAUAUCAUGCUUUAUAGUAUUAGCAAACUAAUGACCAUUUACUCAUUUGUUCCACAGUGAUGAGGAAAUAAACAGUUCAAAGCAAUUAAGAGAUGAUCCUCAUUGAUGAAGAGCUAAAAGUAUUGUCAGAAUAUUAACAUGCACAGACAGGUAAACAAGGAAGACAGGAGGUAUAACAACAGGGGCAUAGCAAAUGCUUCAAGAGAAAGGGAAGGAUGAGUACCAUGGGCUAAAGUGGGGGAUAGUGUCACAAAAGGAUUUUAAAUCACUUAGUGUUUAUGGACAUGUAAACAAAAUAGGAAGCACUCCAAAUUUUGGGUUGAAUACUUGACACAAAUUUUGGGGAAAAUGUGAAUUGAGCAAAGAGAUGAAGACUAGUGGAAAUAAGCGGGGAAGUUCCACGAUGGGACUUCAGAGAACUUUUAAUAGUUGUCAAGCCAAGUGUGAUUUGUCAUGUACAUCUUCGAAACCACUGAUAGGUUUGAAUGAUUUAUUUCCAAUAUUUUGGAAGAUUAACUUGUUAGUAGUUAGAGCAUCAUUGAGACUCAAGUGGGCAGUGACAUAUAUAGGUUUGGUACUCAUGUGAAUAGCCAGAGCUAGUGAUAAAAAUUAGUUUUUGUUGGUGUAAAGAUUGUAUCUGCAGCUAUGUAACUAGAGAUGAUCUCAGGACAGAAAAGGAGGGCUCAACAUAGAUCUUUGCAGCAAUGCAACUUGUAGUGAUUGGGUAGAGAGAAGCCAGGACAAGCAGCACAACCACAGGAAAGAGGAAAGCCAGAAAGUAUGUCACCACAGAGGCGGGGGUGGGGGGUAGGGAGGGUUCCAGAAUGAGGGAGCAGUCCACCACCCAGCAGUGAUGUGGGCUUGUCUAGAAUGGGACAGUGAAACACCACACAAACCGGAAGCUAUGUGUCUAACGCUGCUCCAAAGGCACUAACCCUAUAACUAAUGUGCUACUGAACCACAAGCAUGACUGGUUCCUGCCUAACUGAACAAGUUAAACGAUAUUUUGGGUCUGGACAGAGAUAGCUGAUGGGAGGAAAAGAGUGGAGAUUAAAGUUGACUAUCUUAAAGUGACUACUUAAAGGGGACAGUACAUUUAAAAAGCUGUAUAAGUCAAAACAAUAUAGCAUCAAAGCUUAAUUAUUGGUUAUGAAAUAAUUCUAAGAGGCAUUUUAUAAAUAAUGACUUUUUUCCCUGAAACUUUGUUUUUAUUGCCCCAGCAGAAGACUUUAACAUCCUUAGCAACAGGUGUUUCAGAAGUGAGAAACUGCAGGACUGAAAAAAUACUUCAGAUACAGCUGAACAUUUUUCAGACUGUGAACACUACUUAUAAGACUGGACAGCAAACACCUUGACAUGAGGUCAUGGCUUAAUUCACUCAGAAACUUUCAGAAAAUUACAAACCAGGACACCCAAUCUGACCUUUUCAAAAAUAAUUUUUUUAUUUACAGGUUUUAAACAAAGGACAAUCCCCUUCUAGUGGCCCUUUCUCUGCUGUUCUCAUUUUAUGGGUAGAAAAAGUAGUCAUUACUAUAAUGUUAAUGAUUUCCUCAAGCUGUGUCUAUCAGAACAGAAGCCCACUAAGGAAAGUGUUAAGUUGACAUUAUUAAUCACCUUAUCAAGUAGAUCUGAAUAAAUUUGCUGGAGAGAUCAAAAUACUUUUAAAUAAACACAGUUUACACUCAAUAUAUCAAUCAGGGAAAUUAAGCAUAAGCAGGAUAAUUGCUCAUUUACAGCUAUGACUCUGUCUUCAUGUAGAGUUUACAUAAGGAUGCUGUGUUUGAGGUCAAUGCUAGCAGCAAACCACUGAAGUGAGAACAGGACCCCUUGGGGGAAUUAGAGGAAGGACUGAAAAAGUUGAAGGAGUUUGCAACCCCAUAAGAACAACAAUGCCAACCAACCAGAGCUUCCAGGGACUAAACCACUACCCAAAGACUAUACAUGGAUUGACCCAGGGCUCCAACUGCAUAGGUAGCAGAGAAUAGCCUUGUUGGGGCACCAGUGGAAGGGGAAGCCCCUUGGUCCUGCCAAGGUUGGGCCCCCCAGUGCAGGGAAUAUGGGGGCGGCAGUGUAAGGGGGAUGUGUGGGGGGAAUACUCAUAUGGGGGAGGGGGAGUGGGAGUGGGAGGGGAAGGGGGAGGGGAGGGAAUGGGGGCUUAUGGACAGGAAACCGGGAAGGGGAAUAACAUUUGAAAUGUAAGUAAAGAAAUAUAUCUAAUAAUUUUUUUUUAAAAAAGGAAUGCUGUGUUUGAAUUCCCUGGAUUUUUUUUAACUUUAAUAUAUAUAUACAUAUUUAUUUAUUUAUUCAUUCAUUCAUUCAUUCAUUCAUUCAUUCAUUUAUUGGUGAGGAUUUCACAAAGAUAGAUCCCAAAGAGAAAUACAACUGCCACUAACAUGUUCUAAGGCACAGGAAAACUCAUCUCUUUGAGCCUUAGUUUUGCCAACUGUGAAAUGGAAAUUCUACUACUUGUCUUGACCUCUCAUUUUCCAGAGACUCAAGAGAAGCAUGUUCACAGGUUUUUGGUCUCAAAUGUCCUUGUGAUCCAAGAAAGAGCAAUCCCACUGUGAAGCAAGCAGGGGACUGGUCCAUGCCUGUACAGGGCUUUGAACAAAUUCCUAUCUUUGGAAGCUGACAAUCCGCUGCCCUUUGGAGAGGCCCAGAAUUCCUUGUGAAUCCAUGCACGGUGUAACUACACUUGCUUACUGUCAAUCGUUUCCUCUCUCUUUACUCAACUCGGAAGCAGUGGUUUCUGAAACCACCGCACUGGGAAGUGGGAGCUGACCCCAGAUGGUCUGGCACUCAGCUGGGAACUGUUUAAUCACAGGAGUUAAACAUACUAUUAGACAUACUUAAAAUGUUAUGUUAAAUGACAUGAAUAGCCUAUUCAUCUCGGCAUUCUUCCUCUCAUGCAGAAGCACCGCUGCCUUUGCCGUGACCUGUGGUAAGUGCAGGCAAGUGUUUUAGAAUCUUUAGAACUUAUCAGUCACUCCUUCCAGAUCAUUACUUCAGAGGAGUCUACUUCAGAAUGGGACUGGUGCAUGUGACAGUGUCAAGAAAAGGUUUCUAAGAAAACAUCUAGCUAAGAAAACAAAACCAACGCUAAUCAAGAAAAGUCAUGCACUCCACAGAAUGUGCCCCAUAGUGUCUAGGAGUAGUCCAGAGGGACUUCUGGACCAAUUAUCACAAUGGGGUUUGCACGUGCUGACUUCCUCCUUCUAGUCUCCAUCCCAAAGAUGCUGAACCAGCAACUGGCCUAGAGCCAGAGCAGCACAGUCCAAUUCAGAGUGUGUAACAAUGUUCAGUUCAGUUAUGACAUAAUGGCUGCAAACCCAUUUCUGAAAGCACAAAAACCUAAAUAAUGUGGUUAGCUUAUAUUGGACAGAAGGGUUUAACAGAGUUUAAAAACCAAUUUGAAAAUUCCAUCCUCCCAUAAAGAUAACAUUAAGACUGAGGGCAAAACCAUCCAGUUCAAGGAAUGGGAACAAAGUGCAUAAAGAAUUAUGCAGACUCUUUCUGACAUUUAUCCUCCUUACCCAACAUGACCUUGUUCCUCUGAUAUUUAAUACUGACUCGGAAAGAAGACAGUUUCAUUAAAACAUUUUAGUCACAUUACGCUAACAUAGUAAUAUCAGUUUCAUUGCUAAAAACAAGUUUGCAAUUCAAAAUGUCUUCCAUUUGUCACUAAUAUUCUAUUCAUUUCCAAUUUAUCUGACCACACAAGACCUGCAAGGUAUUUUGUUGCAAAUCCAAUAAUUCAUUAGUCUUUCACUAUCGCUGUCAUAAGCCUGCCUGUACAACAAAGGGUCUAAUUUGAACACUGAGCACUGUCCACUUUAGGCCCUGGCCUGAGCUGUGGAAGAUUCUAUACUCUUCUGAGUCUUCUUCUGUUCUUCCACAACUACUAGUAGAAUAUUUUGAUACCUUGGAACUGAAAAGGGGCCUUAGAUAAGGAAACCAUGCUUAAUUAUUUUGUACAAUAUUUUGUUUAUUCCUAUUUUUUCCUUAAACAAGGGCAUAUGCUUAUAUGUUUUGUUUCAGGCUAUUUUAAGGUUCAUAAGAAAAAAGGAGUAAGUUUCAGACAGAAAAUUCCUAGUAUAAAAAAAGGUUCUAAUCUUUAAGUCUAACAAGAUUCCCAUUAGUUUCUAUUUUAACAUGAAGACCUUUCUCCAUGUGUAUAUUUCAGAUGGCCUCAGCUGACUUUCUAUAAAGUAAUAUAAUAGUUUCUUUCUCCUAGCUUACCAAAAACAUAUAUAUUAAGAGGAAAAAAAAUAACUCAAUGUCAUGUCCUUCUCUCCUGACUGAACUAAAAUCCAUUUUCCUAUUAUUUUGUUAUUUAUAUGAGAAAGUACUGGAACAAUCAGAGGAAGUUUAUGUUUAUAGCUGUAACACUCUGGCUUUAGAUGCAGUCAAGUUCAUAGACUGCAGCAGUAUGUAGCCCUUCACUCUGUGUGUGUGUGUGUGUGUGUGUGUGUGUGUGUGUGUGUGUGUGUAAUACAAUAAUACAAUAAAUGUAAUUUAUAUAUAAGCUCUGAACUUUGAACUCCAUCACAAUGUUGUAAAAGAAAGAAAAGAAAAAACAAACACAAAAAACUAACUGUGAAUUUUCUUUCUUUUUUUUUUUUUUCGAGCAAUUUAGUUUAGAUCAGUAACAUGACAGGUCCUUGAGACAGGAUCUUGAGAUAGGAUCAAACUAAGAUGCUGGUGGCCUGGUAAGUUAGUAAUCAGGUUACCUUUGUAACUAAUUCUUCAAAUAUUUGUGGAACAGAUAUUUGGGUGAAGCACGGUAAGUCUGGAAGGAGUGUAGACAUAAAGAGCUGCUGGGCCCAGCAGCCUGCGUAUCCCACUCGACAAAUGCUCUACAACUUCCCAGGUAGAUCUGCUUAGGGGGCAGUUUGGCGACACUCUGUGGAUGUCCAACUAAGCCCUUCCCUGGUUCAAGCUGCCAGUGAACACAUUACUUCUAACCACAGUCCCUGGAAGGUGACUUUUGUUCUUAUUCUUUUCUCUCUGCUGCUUUCCCAGAGAUGUUUUCAUGUUCUCUGCAGGUAGACUUCCCCUGAGGGACACUGCCUUUUCGUGUCCAUGGCGUGAACUGAGUGUAUACAGUGAGUCAGGUACUAGAAACAUAAAAGUGAUUAUGACACUGUCCCUGCCCUUAGGGAACUUGGGGCAGAGGGAAGAUUCACAACACAACGGCACAGUGAGGAAGACUAAGAGGUAAAGUAGCCACUACUGCUGAUGCUAUGAUGUUAUGUGCUGGAUACGUUGAGCAGGUUCAAGUGUCAGAAGCUCCACCUCCAAUAUGGCAAUGGUGAGGUAACAGAACCUUUAAGAAGUAGAGCCUAGAAGAUAUCUGAUCAUGGGAAACUAUGGCAAAUAAAAGGGAAGGGGAGUUAAUAUUGCUUCUUUCUGAACAUGGUAAGUUCCCUUCCUAGUUUCCUAGUGUGAUGGCCAUAGCCAGGGGACCCUUGCCAAGACUUUUGCAUCCAUGUAUUGACAUUUUGCAGCGUCUAGAAUCAUGAGCUGAAGACUGAUACUUUCUAAAUACAGCAGAUAUUUUAAAUUCUGCUUACAUCUCUGGGAAGUUAGCUCUUGAAUAAGAAAUAGAAUGAAAAGAGAGUCCAGUCUUUGUGCUUCCUGAUCCCAGUGCCUACCAGCACAGGAAUAGGGUUCGGGAGGUACAAUCAUAUACCUAUGUGAAUUAGCCACAGAUUUUCAUUUUACAUAUUUUCCCCGAAUAACUUUUUUCCUGGAACUUGCUAGCUAUACAAAGGGAAGAGAUAAUAGAAGCUCAUUCAGUCCUGCUACUUGUAGAGCCACACGUACCUGAUCCAGAGGGUAUCCCCCUUCGAAAUAAUUGCGAACAGGAAUAAAAUUUCAUUCAGGAACUAUUCCAUCUGGCUUUUGGUUUCCUCUGAUGUAUAUCCCUUGAAUAAAACAGUGCAAAAAAAACCCCCUAGAUUUUCAAUAAGAAACAUAAAACUCCUCACCACUUCACACCACAUCACCUCAAUGUCUUACUGUGUUUGAAAUCCCAAGUACAAGCACUUGUAACUAAAUAUAUUGGUCAGCUAGAAUAUAUACAAGAUAUGAAAUACAAAAACUUUAAUUAAAACAAACUUAUUUGACGGGAUCUCUCCACAGUGCCUCUGGGUACAGUGUUCCUGUGAGUACAAUACAGCCAACCAAUUGGAACAAAAUAGCAACACAGCCCAAUAAAUUCUCCAAGUUGGAAAAAUAUUCAUUUGUAUUACUUACCUGCCAAUAGUCUGUCUAAAUAAAACUACAGAGCUGCAUAUUCCUCUAGCAAGAGACAAACAUUAUUGAUCCUUUUCUGGCAGGUAGCGUCAAGUGGUCCAGAGCAAACAAAGAAUAUUUGGGGGCCUGUUUAAAGUAACCCAGAGAUUUUAAUUUCACAACUGGGCCUUUCUGGUCCCAGGCAAUUCCUCAGUAAAGCAGGACCCAGGAUUAGGUUUCAACAUCUCGCAUAGAACCAUGAUUAGUUCUGCUUUAUCCCAGAGAAACAAUAACUCAGCAUUUUCCAAGACAGACUUGUUCCCAUGCCUCUGCUGCUGCUGGUUGUUUGUUGAAACAAGGUCUUACUGUCUUGAGGGCUGGUCCAGACUUGAGAUCUGUCAGCCUAAACCACAGGGUUGGGACUAGAGGCAAAUACCACCACCUUGCUGUUUCUCUUGCAUUUUAUUCUCUGCCUUUUACCCAUGAUACACCUCAUGCAUAUACUUCUAAAUAUUUAUAGAGAACAUCAUGUGCAUUUUAAAGCUAUUCCACAAAAUAUUAAUAAAUGAGAUGGUUGUGGCCUCUAAGAGCCAUCUCAACUCCUUCAGUGUCCAACCAAGACAGCUGGAGGGAGUGACUGGUUAACCAAUGUUACAGGAGCCCAUCUUAGGUUGAGCAAUGUACUACUAGUGUUGGAAUAUAACAUAGUCUAAGCUGCAUCGAUAUUUAAGAAACUGAGAAUCUUUGGGUCACGCUAGACCUCACAGAGUUUUGGUUUGUUUUUUUAAAGAGCACUAAAAGAGUUUUAUAUAAACAUGAUUAAUAAGAAUAAGGGUAAAGAUAGGAAAAAAAUCCACUUAAAGAGAGCCUUAGACACAAUUGGAUACAUAUUCACAUUAGUGGCAACUCUCAGAGGCUUUUCUACUUUUGGUCUUACUAAAAAUUGUAUAAGUUGGUGUUUGUCAGGGGUGAGUGACAUGGCUAAGUACUUGUUGGGAACUGUGAAGUCUGAUUUAUUCUUUUAUUGUCCACAUGCCCAGAGGGCCGCUUCUACCCAAUAAAGCAAAGAUGGGGUCCAGACAGCGGGGUCCGGAGGGGCUCAGCACUCACAAUGUUCCCUCAUGCACUUUUCAACCUUUUCACCCCAAUUAAAGGUCAACAUGGCUGCUCAAAACCACUUAUUUAAAAAGGCAGUCAACUCAGCAGGCUGUCAAGUGUGAUAUUGCCACUUCAUAGAAUUCAAUUAAACCCGGGACCAGGGCAUCUGUGAAUCACUGGAAGAAGCAUGAGUUAAGACAUUUUCUGCUUUCUUCGAGAAGCUGUAUUUUUCCCUUCUGUCAUUUAUUCAGUUCCCAGAGUGCCACCACAGGCGCGCGUUUACAAUCUCCCCCCAGUGGCUCAGGGAUUUAUAGCUCCCGGCUUAAUUAAAUCCCCGCUAACUGCAAUGGAAGUCUACAUCGGCGCCGCACUGCGGAGGGCUCGCGGCCUUUUCCGGCGGGACGAGCUAACACCCGGGCACUUGGAGUGCUCACCGUAGCGCCGGCGCCAUUACCCACCUCAGCCUCAGGCAGUCAAGCCGCCGCUUCCGCCCGCCGCACUUCCGCUGCGCGCCGCACUUCCGGCCCACGGGCGCCGCCCUGCCUCUUGGGCUCCUUCCUCCUGUGUCGUCCUCUCUCUCGUGGGCCUGUUGCUCCUGAGUCAUAGUACGUGAAGAGAAAGCCCAGUUAAAAUGUAUUGAAAAGAAAGAAAAGAGAAAAUGAAAAAGGAAAGAAGGGAAGGAGGGAAGAAAUAGAGAAGAGGCUCUGUGUGUUUAGGAAACAGCAUUUUGAGACUGGCCAUUUUAACCAUUCCUGAUAUGUGUUCAUUCAUUUAUUAAGAUAGAAAAUAGCAUAUUGGAAUUUCAUUUCUGCUGCCAGUACCUGUGGGCUCAUCGCUGAAAUAAAAGCACUUUGUAUUCAGUACUUAAAAGAAAAAAGAUAAAACAGGCAGGUUCUACUCUAACUGAGCUCACCAACUGCUCAUCACCAGGCUUAAGAAAGCAGAAAAAGACACUAACUCACUCCAUGGAUAGAUGAGGAACUAGAAACCCAGAAGAAGGAAGAGACUUCACCACAACCACAAAAGGAGCUAAGAAAAGAAGGGAAGGCUGCAAUGAAGGCGUUUAAUUAGUCAAUUAAACUGGCAUCGCCUUUUUAAGAGGAGAAAUCAUUUAAAGAUUUUUUUUUUGUGUUUGUGGCAGAGAACAUAUUUUGAUCAUAAUGACCAAAUAAUGUUUCAAUCAUUCAUGUUAUUUUUGCUGCCAAGGCUGCCUGGAUAUAAUCUUUAAGCAUCAUGAUGGUGUAAACCUACAAAAUAGAGUAAUCGGAUUUCAAAACUGGUUUAAAAUUAGUUUCCAUGUAUUUCAAAGAACUCAUUUAGUAAAUAAAUAAAAAUGCAGCAAGUUCUAAGUUGUUGGGGGGAAAUACUAGGAAAGGAAAAAAAUGAAGCUAAUGAAGCUCAUCAGUGGAUUUUGACAAAAACCUUUCAAAAUUGGCAGGUGGCAUGUAGAAGCUCCAUGUUGUAUGAAGGCAGCCAACACUGCUCCUUCCUUUCCUCUAGUUUUGGGAUGGAUACAUGUUAUUGAAGAAUCUUUCUCAAAAAUAAAAACCAUGACAUAUGCACUGGACUUUAAAAUCCCUGUAUCCCCAAAAUACCAAGAAAGAGUCUUAAAAAAAAAUAAGGAUACAGUCUAUUGCAUUCUUCUUAGUUCCACAAUGUUAUCACUUUUAGGGAGACUAUAUCUUCUUUGUUCCUCAUAGCACGAUAAAGUAAAAAUCAUCUUAAAAUAUUUA